AUGGUACAAAUGAAAGCAGAUGUUUUGGUACAACUUACAGAAAAGGUGAAGGUAACCCCAGCACGCAUGCGCUGCCUCGGUGGCCAGGGACGUCACCCCCGCGGCUGGGAAGACAGGCUCCCCGUGACGCUUCCCCAGGUGUGCGGGUCAGAGAGGUGCUCUGACACGCCAGGUUCGGGAGCCCCCGUCUUGCGCAGGUUGGUGACGUGCUCACCCAAUUCUCUGAUGGAUGUCACCUGCUCGUUCGGCCUAAAUAAGAAGAUGAAACCAUUUGGACCACAGAGCCACUGGCUGGAGAACUACUGUCCUGGAGUCUCAUCCAGGCCCCUGGACAAUGAACCUAGGAGGAUAGAGGAAAAGCAGUUUCUUCCUCAACAAAACACUACCUCUUAUAGCCUGAGCCUCCAGUGUAGACAUCCAACUGUCCUGAAACUACCCUUCUAUGGGGGAAGUCUGGCCUAGCUAGGUAGACAGGUCAGGUGUGGAGAGAAUAAAGCCAACUUAUGGGUACCA
Molecule: long non-coding RNA, 513 nt
Filed under: Vulpes vulpes (red fox)
Lineage: Eukaryota; Metazoa; Chordata; Mammalia; Carnivora; Canidae
Description: lncRNA (ENSVVUG00000026540.1)
Source: RNAcentral